Carya illinoinensis is the source of this 895-nucleotide long non-coding RNA. RefSeq lists it as uncharacterized. NCBI's taxonomy places the organism in Eukaryota, Viridiplantae, Streptophyta, Magnoliopsida, Fagales, Juglandaceae. The record is from RefSeq and is a predicted model, not a curated record. The transcript has 3 exons.
AGUAUUAAUAUAUAGAUUAGUACGUGACUGUGUUUAUACGUAGCAAAACUCUCUUUUUAUUAACUAGUACGUACGUACCCAUGUCAAUCUUGACAACCUUAACAAUUUUAAUUGAUAACUAUAAGAAUGAAAUUAGGGUUGUUCAUCCGAGCCGGAUAAAAUCCGGCCCGGAUUCCGGUUUUUGGCCCUGAUUUCAUCCGGGCCGAAACCCGGAUUUGAAAAACCGGAUUAAUCCGGUGCGGGUACCGGAUUUUAAAUCCGGGAUCCGGGUUUAAAACCCGGUACCCGGGUUUUAUAAACUGAAAACAAAUAACCUAAUUGUAGCCGCCGCCCCUCCAGCCCCCGACCCAUUUCAGAUCUCUCUCUCUCUCUCUCUCUCUCUCUCUCUCUCUCUCUCUCUCUCUCUCUCUCUCUCUCUCUCUCUCUCUCUCUCUCUCUCUCUCUCUCUCUCUCUCUCUCUCUCUCUCUCUCUCUCUCUCUCUCAUCCCUUCAAGCACUUUCUUUUUGUUCGGAACCCGACGCGCGAUCAUCUCCUUUUGUCCUCAAUCCCUCAUCUCGCCGGUGACCUUUCGAAAUACAUGGAGGAUUCUGCCUUCCAAGUUUUUUGUGUUUUUUGUAUUUGGGCUUACUGAAAACCAAUACCUCUUGACCCCACGUUUCCCUUCAAGAUGAUGGCUAGUUGGGAAGGUGCUGCAAGUUGUGGAGGCAAUAAAGCUGAGUGGAGGAUGAUUCCUUUGGAAAGGUGCUGCAUAUUCCACUUUUAUGUAAGGCUUUGGUUAGAAACAGUGAAUUUGGUGUGAUUAAAUCACAUGGAAGACUAUGUUAUUUAUAUAUAACUCAUAUCUUGUAAUUUUAUAUUUUGUAAUGUAAUGUAAUAUGUAGUGGAUUGCAUGCA